GCUGUAUCUCUUCCUGGAAUACCCCGCCCCUAUACCAUUGGUGGAACUCCCCCACUCCCUCUUACUGUGUGUAUAACUACCCUGAGCUUGCCUUCAAUAAACGAGACUUGGUCAGAAAGCCUGCCUUGUCUCCAUUUCCUGUGUCCCCUGCUCCCCUCCUUCUUUUACAGGUCCGGACCUCCGUUGAUGUCCCGCGGGACGGGACAGUUUUCCAAAAGGAUCCAGCCCUUAGGCAGUUCAUCAGGAUAUGAAGUUAGGUUGAUAUGAGCCUGCUUAUCUGCUAAAUAAAUUGGAACAGUAUCAAACCUGCAGACAGAGGAUUCCCAGCACCCCAUACCGAAACAUUGGGAGGACUUGUAAGGAACAGUUAGUAGCCCCAUGUGGGGAAUAUGCCUCCCCCCUGAGAUAGACCAAGUGCUGAAAUAUCCGGAGAAUUUCAUGGAACAGGGGCCAGGAGUGAUCCGGACCUGCAGUAACCCCACAGGGAAGACCUUUAUCCAAUCCUCACGUGUCUCUUGACAUAACUUAGUCCACACACGUUUAAGAGUGUGAUUCCUCUUCUCUACCUCACCAGAAGACUCAUAUGGGAAUUGGCCACCCAACCAACCUUUGAGCAGUCUCUUUUACAGUGCCCCUCCUGCCAGCAAGUGGAACAUAAUGUGGGGGACCUCUUCCAACAUUCAAGAUACCAGUACCCCUUCUUAUGGCACUUGAAACACGAAUUAUUCCUGAGAUUAUCAUGAGUGGGUCCUCUCUGAGUGGAUGAAAUAAAGGCAGUCAAGAGCUGAGCCUGUUCCCUGUU
This 802-nucleotide long non-coding RNA is filed under the name Vombatus ursinus (common wombat). Its description in RNAcentral is "lncRNA (ENSVURG00010018872.1)". The record is from RNAcentral. Lineage: Eukaryota; Metazoa; Chordata; Mammalia; Diprotodontia; Vombatidae.